RNAcentral lists this small RNA (97 nucleotides) under Pedobacter sp. AK013. RNAcentral's name for it is "Flavo-1 RNA". It matches the Rfam family "Flavo-1 RNA". Lineage: Bacteria; Pseudomonadati; Bacteroidota; Sphingobacteriia; Sphingobacteriales; Sphingobacteriaceae. The record is from RNAcentral.
CAAUAAACCUUAUUGAAGCGGCUAUCCUUUUUGUUGCCCACACAAACAUCCCUCACUAACCAUCACAAAAAGAUAAUAGCGGAAAGAAGGGCUACCC